CGAAAACACCCAUAGAAGUUUACUUUAUUUCAUUUUUGUCCAUAUUUUCUAUUAACACCCCCAUCUUAUACAAAAGCCCAACACCUGUGAAUUCAUAUGGUCAAUUGGGUCGUAUAAGAAGUCAUAAUCAUCUGGUCAUCUUCUCUCCACCGUGGUCUCUUUUUUUUCUGUGUCAUUUUCCGAUCUACUCAAUUUUCUCAGUUGCUUCUCUUGCCAGGAAUUAAUUGGAAGUGAUUUGGGGAGUUCGUAUGCAAAUUGACGUAAAAAAAGUGAAGAAUUUGGAGGAAGUAUAAGUUGGUGCCCAGGUUGGUGCCAGACACCAAUCAAAACGCCGUUGACAGCAUGAUAAAAUAUUCACUGUCCAGGUUGGCGCUAGGCACCAACCAAAAUGCCAUUGGCAGAAGACCAAAAUGUUUGAUGUCCAGGUUGGCGCCAGGCACAAAGCAUGACGCCAAAGGGUUGAUUUUAUCCUAAUUCAGCUAGGACUUGGGGAUUUCAACCCUACACGUCCCCAACAUGUAUAAAAAGAGUUCUAAACCUAUUUUGAGGGAUUGGACAUUAUUUGGAGGCACGAACAUCAAACAAGCUUUGGAGGAGAAAAUCAUCGAGUUCUUCAUUCCUUCAUCUUUUCUUUGUAAUUUGUUUAUGCAAAAUACUUGAAAAAAUAUUACUACGAAUAUGAGUGGCUAAGCACUCUAGUUUCUAGGGUUGUGGUUGACAUGAUUAUUAAUGUUUACUAACUACAUCUUCGUUAAUGCGGAUUAUCAUCUUGUGGUUGUU
This is a non-coding RNA of Nicotiana tabacum (common tobacco), 780 nucleotides long. NCBI's taxonomy places the organism in Eukaryota, Viridiplantae, Streptophyta, Magnoliopsida, Solanales, Solanaceae. The record is from RefSeq and is a predicted model, not a curated record.